GAUGAACGCUGGCGGCGUGCCUAAUACAUGCAAGUCGAGCGAACGGACGAGAAGCUUGCUUCUCUGAUGUUAGCGGCGGACGGGUGAGUAACACGUGGAUAACCUACCUAUAAGACUGGGAUAACUUCGGGAAACCGUAGCUAAUACCGGAUAAUAUUUUGAACCGCAUGGUUCAAAAGUGAAAGACGGUCUUGCUGUCACUUAUAGAUGGGUCCGCGCUGCAUUAGCUAGUUGGUAAGGUAACGGCUUACCAAGGCAACGAUGCAUAGCCGACCUGAGAGGGUGAUCGGCCACACUGGAACUGAGACACGGUCCAGACUCCUACGGGAGGCAGCAGUAGGGAAUCUUCCGCAAUGGGCGAAAGCCUGACGGAGCAACGCCGCGUGAGUGAUGAAGGUCUUCGGAUCGUAAAACUCUGUUAUUAGGGAAGAACAUAUGUGUAAGUAACUGUGCACAUCUUGACGGUACCUAAUCAGAAAGCCACGGCUAACUACGUG
This 497-nucleotide ribosomal RNA is filed under the name uncultured bacterium. RNAcentral describes it as "partial 16S ribosomal RNA". It matches the Rfam family "Bacterial small subunit ribosomal RNA", at positions 28 to 507 of the family's 1533-position model. The record is from RNAcentral.